AAAUUGAAGAGUUUGAUCAUGGCUCAGAUUGAACGCUGGCGGCAGGCCUAACACAUGCAAGUCGAACGGUAGCACAGAGAGCUUGCUCUCGGGUGACGAGUGGCGGACGGGUGAGUAAUGUCUGGGAAACUGCCCGAUGGAGGGGGAUAACUACUGGAAACGGUAGCUAAUACCGCAUAACGUCGCAAGACCAAAGUGGGGGACCUUCGGGCCUCACACCAUCGGAUGUGCCCAGAUGGGAUUAGCUAGUAGGUGGGGUAACGGCUCACCUAGGCGACGAUCCCUAGCUGGUCUGAGAGGAUGACCAGCCACACUGGAACUGAGACACGGUCCAGACUCCUACGGGAGGCAGCAGUGGGGAAUAUUGCACAAUGGGCGCAAGCCUGAUGCAGCCAUGCCGCGUGUAUGAAGAAGGCCUUCGGGUUGUAAAGUACUUUCAGCGAGGAGGAAGGCGUUGUGGUUAAUAACCACAGCGAUUGACGUUACUCGCAGAAGAAGCACCGGCUAACUCCGUGCCAGCAGCCGCGGUAAUACGGAGGGUGCAAGCGUUAAUCGGAAUUACUGGGCGUAAAGCGCACGCAGGCGGUUUGUUAAGUCAGAUGUGAAAUCCCCGGGCUCAACCUGGGAACUGCAUUUGAAACUGGCAAGCUUGAGUCUCGUAGAGGGGGGUAGAAUUCCAGGUGUAGCGGUGAAAUGCGUAGAGAUCUGGAGGAAUACCGGUGGCGAAGGCGGCCCCCUGGACAAAGACUGACGCUCAGGUGCGAAAGCGUGGGGAGCAAACAGGAUUAGAUACCCUGGUAGUCCACGCCGUAAACGAUGUCUACUUGGAGGUUGUGCCCUUGAGGCGUGGCUUCCGGAGCUAACGCGUUAAGUAGACCGCCUGGGGAGUACGGCCGCAAGGUUAAAACUCAAAUGAAUUGACGGGGGCCCGCACAAGCGGUGGAGCAUGUGGUUUAAUUCGAUGCAACGCGAAGAACCUUACCUGGUCUUGACAUCCACGGAAGUUUUCAGAGAUGAGAAUGUGCCUUCGGGAACCGUGAGACAGGUGCUGCAUGGCUGUCGUCA
Molecule: ribosomal RNA, 1065 nt
Filed under: Salmonella enterica
Lineage: Bacteria; Pseudomonadati; Pseudomonadota; Gammaproteobacteria; Enterobacterales; Enterobacteriaceae
Also listed under: 1 other name
Description: partial 16S ribosomal RNA
Rfam family: Bacterial small subunit ribosomal RNA
Source: RNAcentral